UGGGGAAUCUUGCACAAUGGGGGCAACCCUGAUGCAGCGACGCCGCGUGAGCGGUGAAGCCCUUCGGGGCGUAAAGCUCUUUCGACCGGAACGAUAAUGACGGUACCGGGAGAAGAAGCUGCGGCUAACUACGUGCCAGCAGCCGCGGUAAUACGUAGGCAGCAAGCGUUGUUCGGAGUUAUUGGGCGUAACGAGUGCGUAGGCGGUUUUCUAAGUUCGGUGUGAAAUCUCCCGGCUUAACUGGGAGGGUGCGCCGAAGACUGGGAAGCUGGAGUGUGGGAAAGGCAGGCGGAAUUCCUGGUGUAGCGGUGAAAUGCGUAGAUAUCAGGAGGAACACCGGCGGUGUAGACGGCUUGCUAGACCAUAACUGACGCUGAGGCACGAAAGCGUGGGUAGCAAACA
This 402-nucleotide ribosomal RNA is filed under the name uncultured bacterium. RNAcentral's name for it is "bacterial SSU rRNA". It matches the Rfam family "Bacterial small subunit ribosomal RNA", at positions 355 to 774 of the family's 1533-position model. The record is from RNAcentral.